UCCGAAUUUAAACUAACAUAGAAACUCAAAGUCUCAACCGCGUAGCUGAGAUUCGAAAACCUGACUACUAUGUCACUGGUGGUCUAGUAAGACAUUUCUGCAUUUUCUAAAAGAAAAAUCCAUAAGCAAAUUUCCUUAAAUUAAUUAAACUGGGUACUUAAUUUAUAGCCAAUAUUGUACACUAGCAAAGCCAAUAGUAUAGUCAUGUAAGGGCAGAAGAGAUCUAGCAGCACAAUUCAGUUAAGGGAAUGUCUGCGUCUUGACGUAUGUGGAGGUAGAUAAGGCCGUUUUUGGCCAUACAUAUUUACCUUUUUUGUGAUGCCUUCGGGGUUAAGUAAAAGCUAGUUAUUUUAGGGAUAGGAUUAAGUCCAGGGCUAAGAUGGUGUUAGAGUAAUUUUGUGUUUUGGUUGAAAAUUGAAUUUAUUUCAGAUAUAAGCAAAACAAUAUUUGGUUAGAGUAAGUAGAGUAAAAAGGAUAGUGGGUAGUUAUAAAUAGAAAAAUAAUGAUAUUGCCCCAAUUAUUAUAUUUGAAUUUAAAUUUAAAAUUUACAUAAUUAAAAAUAAUAGUUUAAAAUUUAAAAUUUAAAAUUCAAAAUUAAAAUAUAUUUUUUUAAAUCUCAAAUUUAAAAACUUAAAGUUACAAAUAUAAAAUAUUAAAUUUAAAAUUUAAAUAAUUAAAAAUAAUAAUUUUAAAAUUUGAAUUUUUUAAAAUAAAUAUUAAUUUUAAAAUUUAAAAUUAUAAUUUUUAAAUUUAAAAUUUAAAAAUUAAAAUUUAUAUUUAUAUUUAAAAAUAAAAUAGGGGUGGGACUAACUUAAUCCCAUCCUUAUUCCUGGGUUGGGGUGGGGUUAACUAACCCUAACCCCCAAAAUUCUUGUUUGGGGUUAAAGGGGGGGGGGUAACCCCCUUAUCGUCCCCCCUUUAACCCCGAACCAAACGGGGUGUUAAAAGCAUUAGAAAAUUCAUNUUAAAAAUAUCAAAUUUAAAAUUUAAACUUUAAAAUUUAUAAUUUUAAAUUAUAAAUUUUAAUUUUGAGAUUAUAAAUUUUAAAAAUUUAAAUUUUAAUUUAAAAUAAAAAUCUCUCUCUCUCUCUCUCUACCCGGCGGGGUGGGAACAGAACAAGCUUGUUCCCACCCAUACCUAGUACAACCCGGUAUGGGUGGGAACAAGUUGUUCCCACCCACCCAGAUUUUUGUUUGGGUACAAGAGGGGGGAUAACCCCCUUAUCCCCUCCUUUAAUCCCGAACCAAACGGGGUGUUAGGUAUCGUUUGGUUCGGGGAUAAGUAAAAAGUGGCUAUUCCAGGGAUAGGUAUAAAUUGAAAUAUAAGCAGUGAUUAGAUCAAUUUUGCAUUUGAAUGAAAAUUAGGUUAUUCCUGAGAAUAAAAAAAAUAGCGUUUGGUUAGAUUAGAUGGAAUAAGAAGUGUAGUGAGUUUUAAUAAAUAAAAAAUAAUGAUAUUAUAUACCUACCUAUUAUAUUUGAAUUUAAAUUUUUAAUUUUUAAAUUUAUUUUAAAUUUUAAAAUUUUAACUUUGAUAUUUCAAAUUUUGAAAUCUCAAAUUUUAAAAUCAAAAUUUUAAAUUUUAAAUUUUAAAUCUCAAACUUUAAAUUUAAGAUCAAAUUUAAAUUUAAAAAAUAUAAAAUAUCAAAUUUUAAAUUUCAAAAUUUUAAAAUAUCAAAAUUUAGAAUUUAAAAUUUAAAAUUCUAAACUUUAAUUUUGAGAUUACAAAUUAUAAAUUUUAAAAAUUUAAAUUUUAAAUUUUUAAAUUUUUAAAUAAGAAUAGGGAUGGGAACAAUUAAUAAAAAUAAUUUAUUAUAAUAAAUUUAUAAAGUUUUUUAAAAUUCUACUUAAACUUAAAUUUAAUAAAUAUAAUUUAUUAUAAUAUUUAAAUAUAAAUAAUAUUUAUUAAUAUAGUACAAUUAAUAAAUUUAUAAUAAAAAAAUAUAUUAUAAUAUAUAACAUAUUAUAUUUAUAUAAUUUAGUGUUAAUUUAAUUUAUAAUUUUAAUUAAGUUUGAAAUUAAGCAUUGGAAUAGCAAAUUUUUUGCUAUUCCGGGAUAACUGGGAAUAGUAAGGUUUGACCGGAAUAAAAUAUUCCGAUAAAAAAUCGCCCCGUUUGGCGGAACCCCGCUUAUUCUCCUAAUCGAACGAUGCCUUAAUCUCGUA
Molecule: long non-coding RNA, 2160 nt
Filed under: Ananas comosus (pineapple)
Lineage: Eukaryota; Viridiplantae; Streptophyta; Magnoliopsida; Poales; Bromeliaceae
Description: long non-coding RNA (ACOM_LNC006044)
Source: RNAcentral